UCACACAAAAGUGGCUAAAGGAAAAUAGAAAGAGUUGAGAGAGAAGUGAAGAUAGAAGAAGAAGGAAGAAGACCCAUGUGAAGAAAAGAGAAUAGCAAAGCUAGGAUUUAUAAAGGGGGUGAAGAUUUUGGCGAGAUAGCUUAGCUUAAGGAGAUUUAAGGUAAGAGGGGUAUAUUUGUUCUUCCUAAUAAUCUAUAAUCAUGUUUUUAGCUUAUGAGUCAUAUUUGUUUUGUUUGAUUUGUGAAGAUUAAUGAUUAUAUGUGCAACUUUCGUGAUUUGAAUUAAGUGGUGAGUUUGAGUAUGUGAAAGUUGUUGAAAACUUGUUGUUGAUGCAUAAAUUUCAUUAUUGAUAUAUGUUAAGUUGUUUACUUUGAGAGUUUAGCUUAAAUUAGUGAAUAUGAUGAUGUUGUUGUUGAUUAAUGAUGAAUUCAUGAUUUAUGUGAUAUAAAUGUUGUUGGGUAUAUGUUGUGUUGAGAACCAUGAGCUUCAAUGUGAUAAAUACGAUGUUGGUUGAAUUGUUGUGUUUUGGUGAUUUUUGUGAAAAUGGGUCAACAACGAGAAUUGUGAUUUUGAUGAUUAUGAAUGGAGUUAUGGAGUUGUUAUGGUGAAAAUGGGUCAACAAGGAGAAUUGUGAUUUUUGUUAUGAAGUUUGGGUGAAAUCAGGUUUUUGAGUUAAAAGUAGUUUUAAGCACUUUUAAGAAAUAAAUCAUUUUGGGUGAUUUGAAAUAAGUUGUUUUGGAUUAGAAAACUAUAUUUUCGGUGAGUAUUAACUGUUUAAGUGUUUGUAAUGAAUUUAGUGAAAGCGGGAUUGAAAACGGAUCGAAAAUCAGACUCUUCCCAUGUGUGAAAAACAUGAAAAGUGUUGUUUUGUUGUAACAGGAAAAACGCACAGUCUGCAUCAAGGAGUGAUCGAACCGUCCACAACUCCUUGGACCAUGCGUUUUUCAUGGGCAAAAGUGCAUGGACCGUGCGCAUGUUGGGUGGUCCAAAACGCAAAUUUUUAUACUUCCAAGGUUCCAAAUGCAUCCCUAAGAGUUCCAAAGACCUAAACCUACUAUAUUAGAGUGUAAUUGAGCUUAUAUGAUUGGUUUAACAUAGCUUAUUUUGCGAAAAGAAAUUGAUUUCGAAACAUGAAGAUAAUGAGACGAACUUUGGGAAUUUUGAGAAAUGUAUGAACCUUGUGAAACAAAGAUGAUAUGAUUGAAUCACUAAGGUGUUAGAUGAUAUGUAGGGAUGUUUUGCUGAUAUGUAGGAACUUAAUAUCCUAUUUUGUUGAGAUAUUUUAAAAUAGACGAUUUUUGUGAAAAUAGACGAACUUUGUCGAAAUGAGGAUUUAUGAUUUGAUAACUUGUAAAUAAAUUUUAUUCAUAAUAAUAUGAUGAAAUAAUAAUGAAUCAAUGAUUGAUGAGUGUAAAAUAUGCUGGUUAACAUGAUGUGAGCGAUCGUCCGUCAAUUAUGCGAAUUGUGCUUUAUGAGCGACAUUGUCUUCUUUGUUGUGAUAAAUAAUUGGUGAUGAUGCCUAUGCUUGAUUGAUAAUUUGGUGAUGAGUAUAUAUGUGUAUAACUUGAUGAUGAAUACAUGUGUAUCCUUGAUGGUGUUAAUUAUGGAGUCGGUGAUGGUGUUAAAUUUGUGAUGUCUUGUAUGAACGUAUGCAUUUGGUGAGUCAUAUGUUCAUGCAUUCACAAAUUUUGGUGUUAGGAUAUUUCAAUAUCCAAGUGGAGAUAGAAUCCCUCGGAGAUAUUAUUUCUGACAUCCAAGUGGAGAUGGAUUAAUCGGUAAAAUGACUCCGACAUCCAAGAGUUUGGUACCACAUGCAUGUAGAGGUGUCUAGAACAUAACAUGCAUACGAACUAUAUGAUUUUGGUGAAUUGUAUGGACUUAUGUAAAGUCGUUUACUUGGAAUGUAAUUGAUUGGUGUUGUUUGUAUACUUGGAUUAAUGUUGUUAAUCUAUGAUUGGUGUGAUGAAUUAUCCAUGAGGAAUUGAUGUGAUAUGCAUUGUUGUGCUAUGAAUGAGUUAAGAUAAUAUUCACAUGAUGUUAGUAUUCUAGGAGUGAUGAAUAUGUAUAUGUGCUAUACUUGAAAUCCUUGAAUGUUAUUUUAUGAUUAUAUUUUAUUAUGUGAAAUGUUAUCUAACCCUCAGUGGUUGUUUGGUUGACCGCCUACCCAUUUGUAUGAAUGGUGUAGACGACGUGCAUGAUUGAGAACUUAUUGUUUGUGAGUACUCGAGGACUAGCUUGGAGCUACCUCCUUAUCUUUUGCUUGGAGUCUAGUUAAGCUCUGAUUAUGAGUGUUGGGACUUUUGUAUUUUUUGCUUUUUGUCCGUUGUUGGACUUAUUUGCUGAGACAGUUGUUAUGUUUAUGAGACCUGAGACAUGGUGUUGAGAUUCUAUUAUUCAUGUACUUGAGGAUUAUUAUAUGUUGUUGAGUUAUUUAUGUAUGGUGAUUUUCCACUG
This 2454-nucleotide long non-coding RNA is filed under the name Medicago truncatula (barrel medic). Its description in RNAcentral is "long non-coding RNA (MTRU_LNC007326)". Lineage: Eukaryota; Viridiplantae; Streptophyta; Magnoliopsida; Fabales; Fabaceae. The record is from RNAcentral.